UUUGAUACUCCAUUGCUAUAUUGUUGUCUAUGCAUUAUUUUUCUCUUUCAAGUGUGUUUAUUGAUUAAGACUUUAUUGGUUCAGGGGGAUGAGCAUGUUGUUGCUGUGGACGAAUUGAUUGAGGCUGAUGAAGUUUUUUGUACAGGAACUGUUGUUGGUUUUGCUCUUGUAGGGAGUAUCACAUAUCAGAAUAGAAGAUUUCAUGUCUUAGGGCAUAACAGACUCAAUUAAGUAAGCAGGAAUAUCUUACUUCAAAGGAGGAAGUUGACACUCAAGAAGGUCGUGCGAGACAGCUUGAGGAAGAGAUUAGAGAUUUAAGACAAAAACACAAGCAAGAGUUGCACGAGGCAUUGAUGCAUAUGGAGCUUAUUCAGCAGGAAAUAGAAAAAGAAAAGGUUGCUCGAUCAUAUAUGGAGAGGGUUGGUUGUGUUCAUUAUGUGCCAUCAUCAUAUCAAAGUCCCACAACAAAGCAUAAAUCUGCUUUUGAGAAUGGUGUGAUGCUUUGCUUCUUUUUAUUUUUACAUCACUUGGUUCAGUUAUCUUGUCUAUGAUAUUUUCGAUAAUAUACUUUAUGAUGUAUGGAAUUUGUCCCGUAAAAUCUCCUGUGCAAGCUCCCUUGGAAGAAUGGAAGAAAGCUAUUUUCUUCAAGCAUCACUGGAUUCAUCUGACAGUUUUUCUGAACGGAGAAACCCAGGAGAACUAAGCAUGAGUCCUUACUAUAUGAAGAGCAUUACACUCAGUUCUUUUGAGGCUGCGUUUCGUCAGGAGGGUGAGCUUGCUUCAUAUAUGUCGCGCUUGGUAUGAUUUGUUGCUUUCAUUUUCUGUCAUCAUACCUUCCAUGGAUAUCUCUUUGGAUCCGCAAUUGAAACUACAACAACAGUGAUCUUGUCCCAGCACUGCCAAUAUGCACUGCAAACUAGAGAGCUCAAGCAAGUUAUUUAAGGUCUAGCAUAAAGCCAACUUAUUGUUUUGAUUGGAUUUGGAUCCCAUAUUCUAUUAUUUACUUUCUACAUUCAUAACCAAAACUUUUUGGAGUAUUUUAUUAAAUAUUUUGUUUAACAAGAUGAUUACUCUUUCUUUAUGAAA
Long non-coding RNA from Cicer arietinum (chickpea), 1086 nucleotides. RefSeq lists it as uncharacterized. Lineage: Eukaryota; Viridiplantae; Streptophyta; Magnoliopsida; Fabales; Fabaceae. The record is from RefSeq and is a predicted model, not a curated record.